GUAAUCAAAACCCCAUUAAUUGUGGGCCAGUAUGAAAGAAACAACCUUGAAGGAUUUUCUUUUUUUAGUAAAUUGAAUUUAAAGAACCAAAAAAAAAAAUUCUAGUUCACAAGACGAGAAGACCCUAGAAAUUUGUCUAAUUUCUUAGUUUUUUGGGGAAAAUAAUUAAAAAAAUUUCUAAAAACAUAUAAAGUAUAAACAAUCAAAAAAUAAAUUACCCUAGGGAUAACAGAGCAAUGAUUAUUAAAAGAUCUUAUUCAAAUAUAAGUUUGCGACCUCGAUGUUGGAUUCUCUAGUCCUACAGCUGUAAAAGGCUGAUUAAAAUAAACUGUUCGUUUUUUGAAAAGAG
This 349-nucleotide ribosomal RNA is filed under the name Stenacis thunbergii. RNAcentral's name for it is "partial 16S ribosomal RNA". The record is from RNAcentral. Lineage: Eukaryota; Metazoa; Arthropoda; Arachnida; Trombidiformes; Eriophyidae.